This is a non-coding RNA of Schistosoma rodhaini, 46 nucleotides long. NCBI's taxonomy places the organism in Eukaryota, Metazoa, Platyhelminthes, Trematoda, Strigeidida, Schistosomatidae. The record is from Rfam.
GCACUGCCUAGGAGUCCCAUAAUAGGACGAAACGGCCGUCUAGUGC